This 67-nucleotide transfer RNA is filed under the name Peploptera acromialis. RNAcentral's name for it is "tRNA-Cys". Lineage: Eukaryota; Metazoa; Arthropoda; Insecta; Coleoptera; Chrysomelidae. The record is from RNAcentral.
AGCCUUAUAUUCAAUGAUGAUUCUGGAUUGCAAAUCUAGAGGUGACGCUGCUAUGCCUCUAAGGCUU